CCUACGGGUGGCUGCAGUAGGGAGUAUUGCACAAUGGGCGCAAGCCUGAUGCAGCCAUGCCGCGUGUGUGAAGAAGGCCUUCGGGUUGUAAAGCACUUUCAGCGGGGAGGAAGGCGGUGAGGUUAAUAACCUCAUCGAUUGACGUUACCCGCAGAAGAAGCACCGGCUAACUCCGUGCCAGCAGCCGCGGUAAUACGGAGGGUGCAAGCGUUAAUCGGAAUUACUGGGCGUAAAGCGCACGCAGGCGGUCUGUCAAGUCGGAUGUGAAAUCCCCGGGCUCAACCUGGGAACUGCAUUCGAAACUGGCAGGCUAGAGUCUUGUAGAGGGGGGUAGAAUUCCAGGUGUAGCGGUGAAAUGCGUAGAGAUCUGGAGGAAUACCGGUGGCGAAGGCGGCCCCCUGGACAAAGACUGACGCUCAGGUGCGAAAGCGUGGGGAGCAAACAGGAUUAGAUACCCGUGUAGUC
Molecule: ribosomal RNA, 465 nt
Filed under: uncultured Klebsiella sp.
Lineage: Bacteria; Pseudomonadati; Pseudomonadota; Gammaproteobacteria; Enterobacterales; Enterobacteriaceae
Description: bacterial SSU rRNA
Rfam family: Bacterial small subunit ribosomal RNA
Source: RNAcentral